RNAcentral lists this ribosomal RNA (746 nucleotides) under uncultured bacterium. RNAcentral's name for it is "bacterial SSU rRNA". It matches the Rfam family "Bacterial small subunit ribosomal RNA", at positions 8 to 798 of the family's 1533-position model. The record is from RNAcentral.
AGAGUUUGAUCAUGGCUCAGAGCGAACGCUGGCGGCAGGCUUAACACAUGCAAGUCGAGCGGGCGUAGCAAUACGUCAGCGGCAGACGGGUGAGUAACGCGUGGGAACGUACCUUUUGGUUCGGAACAACACAGGGAAACUUGUGCUAAUACCGGAUAAGCCCUUACGGGGAAAGAUUUAUCGCCGAAAGAUCGGCCCGCGUCUGAUUAGCUAGUUGGUGAGGUAACGGCUCACCAAGGCGACGAUCAGUAGCUGGUCUGAGAGGAUGAUCAGCCACAUUGGGACUGAGACACGGCCCAAACUCCUACGGGAGGCAGCAGUGGGGAAUAUUGGACAAUGGGCGCAAGCCUGAUCCAGCCAUGCCGCGUGAGUGAUGAAGGCCCUAGGGUUGUAAAGCUCUUUUGUGCGGGAAGAUAAUGACGGUACCGCAAGAAUAAGCCCCGGCUAACUUCGUGCCAGCAGCCGCGGUAAUACGAAGGGGGCUAGCGUUGCUCGGAAUCACUGGGCGUAAAGGGUGCGUAGGCGGGUCUUUAAGUCAGGGGUGAAAUCCUGGAGCUCAACUCCAGAACUGCCUUUGAUACUGAAGAUCUUGAGUUCGGGAGAGGUGAGUGGAACUGCGAGUGUAGAGGUGAAAUUCGUAGAUAUUCGCAAGAACACCAGUGGCGAAGGCGGCUCACUGGCCCGAUACUGACGCUGAGGCACGAAAGCGUGGGGAGCAAACAGGAUUAGAUACCCUGGUAGUCCAA